UGCCNCNGAUAUUUUAUUAAAGGGCUGCAGUAUUUUGACUGUACAAAGGUAGCAUAAUCAUUAGUCAUUUAAUUGAUGACUUGUAUGAAAGAUUGGAUGAAAUAUAAACUGUCUUAAAUAUAGAUUGUANAAUUUAAUUUUUUAUUUAAAAAGUUAAAAUAUUUUAAAAAGACGAGAAGACCCUAUAGAGUUUUAUUUUAAUAAUAUCUUAAGGUUUUUUAUAAAAUUAAUAAUUUAAAUUUAUUUUAAAAUUUUAUUGGGGUGAUAGAAAAAUUAAAUAAACUUUUUUUUUUUUUUACAUAAAUAAAUGGUUAAAUGAUCCAAUUUUAUUGAUUAUAAGAAAAAAUUACCUUAGGGAUAACAGCGUAAUUUUUUUUUUUAGUUCAAAUAAGAAAAAGAGUUUGCGACCUCGAUGUUGGAUUAAGAUAAAAUUUAAAUGCAGAAGUUUAAA
RNAcentral lists this ribosomal RNA (451 nucleotides) under Sitvia denudata. RNAcentral's name for it is "partial large subunit ribosomal RNA". The record is from RNAcentral. Lineage: Eukaryota; Metazoa; Arthropoda; Insecta; Lepidoptera; Erebidae.